This 1491-nucleotide ribosomal RNA is filed under the name Pseudomonas sp. IGCAR-28/07. Its description in RNAcentral is "partial 16S ribosomal RNA". It matches the Rfam family "Bacterial small subunit ribosomal RNA", at positions 70 to 1368 of the family's 1533-position model. The record is from RNAcentral. Lineage: Bacteria; Pseudomonadati; Pseudomonadota; Gammaproteobacteria; Pseudomonadales; Pseudomonadaceae.
UCAGUUUGGAUCUCUGAGUUUGAUCCUGGCUCAGAAGUCGAAAAGGUAACCCGUAUUGGAUCCCCCAAAGUUUGAUCCCGGCUCAAAAGGGCACAAAAAAGGAAACGGAAUUUGAUCCCCUUUACUUUUUUCCCGGCUCCGAAAGGGACCUAAAAGAUACCCGUUUUGUUUUCCCCCUAUUUUUUUCCCCCGCCCAAAUGAGGUAAAGGCUCACCUAGGCAACGAUCCCCAACUGGUCUGAGAGGAUGAUCAGUCACACUGGAACUGAGACACGGUCCAGACUCCUACGGGAGGCACCAGUGGGGAAGAUUGGACAAUGGGCGAAAGCCUGAUCCAUCCGUGGCGCGUGGGUGAAUAAGGGCUUCGGAGUGAAAGCAUUUUAAGUUGGGAGGAAGGGCAGGAGGCGAAUACCUUGCUGGUUUGACGUUACCAACANAGUAAGCACCGGCUAUCUUCUUGCCAGCAACCCCGGUAAUACAAAGGGUGCAAGCGUUAAUCGGAAUUACUGGGCUUAAAGCGCGCGUAGGUGGUUCAACAAGUUGGAGGUGAAAUCCCCGGUCUCAACCUGGGAACUGCCUCCAAACUACUGAGCUAAAGACGGUAUAGGGUAAUGGAAUUUCCUGUUGUAGCGUGAAAUACGCAUAUAUAAGGAGGUGAAUUCCCGGGCUCAACCUUGGGAAUUGCCUUCAAUACUACUGAGCUAGAGUACGGUAGAGGGUAGUGGAAUUUCCUGUGUAGCGGUGUAUUGCGUAGAUAUAGGAAGGAACACCAGUGGCGAAGGCGACUACCUGGUCUGAUACUGUCAUUGAGGUGUGAAAGCGUGGGGAGCAAACAGGAUUAGAUACCCUGGUAGUCCACGCCGUAAACGAUGUCGACUAGCCGUUGGGAUCCUUGAGAUCUUAGUGGCGCAGCUAACGCAUUAAGUCGACCGCCUGGGGAGUACGGCCGCAAGGUUAAAACUCAAAUGAAUUGACGGGGGCCCGCACAAGCGGUGGAGCAUGUGGUUUAAUUUGAAGCAACGCGAAGAACCUUACCUGGCCUUGACAUGCUGAGAACUUUCCAGAGAUGGAUUGGUGCCUUCGGGAACUCAGACACAGGUGCUGCAUGGCUGUCGUCAGCUCGUGUCGUGAGAUGUUGGGUUAAGUCCCGUAACGAGCGCAACCCUUGUCAUUAGUUACCAGCACCUCGGGUGGGCAUUUUAAGGAGACGGCCGGUGACAAACCGGAGGAAGGUGGGGAUGACGUCAAGUUUUCAUGGCCCUUACGGCCAGGGCAACACAAAAACUACAAUGGUCGGUUCAAAGGGUUGCCAAGCCGCGAGGGGGGGGUAAAAGGAUAAACAAUAUGGGAUUCUGGAGGGCUUUCCCCGGGUCGAGGAAGUGGAAACAGGAUAACCAGUAAUGGUUCCUUAGGAUUUUGCCCCGGGUUCGGAAAGUGGUAACAAGGUAACCAGUAGGGGCUCCUUUAGAGUUUGAUCCUGGCUCAGUAAGUC